RNAcentral lists this unclassified non-coding RNA (337 nucleotides) under Hevea brasiliensis (rubber tree). The record is from RNAcentral. Lineage: Eukaryota; Viridiplantae; Streptophyta; Magnoliopsida; Malpighiales; Euphorbiaceae.
CGGGUACAUAAUUUCAUUUUUUUUUUCCAUCCCUCGUAUAUUUGCUUAAAUGUUGCUGGUUAGUGCCUUUUGUUUUGUUUCAUACUCCUAGACAUAUUCUGAUUAAUAUUGAUGAUGGCCAUUUUAUUGGACACAGUUGGAUUGAUUUUUGUGAUUGCCUUUCUUUUCUUUAUUAACAUUAUUUUGAGUUUUAUUUUUCUUGUGAUCAGUAGAUUGUAACAUUAACCACUUGAUUUGGUUAUAGCAUCAAGGGUAAACUUUUUGGUCUUCUUAUUAAGAAACGUACAAAUCUUGAAAUUUCCUUACAGUUCUGUGUUGAUCGUUUUUUGGAUUUCAG